GUAAGGGGUAAUUAAAGAAGUGGAGAUGUGGAUUGAGUAUUCAAUAAUCAAUUUAUGUGGAACCGAAGGGAAUUUCGAGGAGACUAGCAGCCUGGUGGCAAGAGGAUUUACAGUUUCAAGUGCUAAAUGUUUUAAACCUCUGGAUUGAUGGGAAGUUCAUCAAGAUAGAUUGUGGCAUUUAUCGUUAGUUUAUGGAAAUUCAGAAAUGCAAGAGAGAAUGGAAUUCCUUCACGAUGUAAAGGGUUUGGAUCUCAAGGAUGGUAUUCCAUGGCUGAUGAUAGGGGAUUUCAAUAUAUGUGCUCCCCUUAUGAUAAAAUUAGAGAGUCCAGAAUUAAUUAUCUUUUGACUGAAGCAUAUCAUAAUUUCUUAUUUGAAACUGAGAUGGGGGAAUUGGAUUUCAAGGAGAACUGUUUCACUUGGUGUAACAAGUAGCAUGGAAGGGGCAGAAUUCUAAAGCAUAUCAACAAGGCCAUUGCAAAUGUUGAAUGGAGACUAUUAUUUUCGAGUGCGCAAUUGUUUCAUGACAAGAUGAUGGCCUCGGAUCACCAACCUCUAGAAUUAGAUUUUAAUACAUUAUGCCCAAGUAUUCAAAGCCUUUCAGGUUUGAUCUUUAAUGGUCCUCUAACCCACUUGUGAUGCCAUAGUUAAUGA
Molecule: unclassified non-coding RNA, 651 nt
Filed under: Hevea brasiliensis (rubber tree)
Lineage: Eukaryota; Viridiplantae; Streptophyta; Magnoliopsida; Malpighiales; Euphorbiaceae
Source: RNAcentral